ACAGGGAUUGCCCUAGUAACGGCGAGUGAAGCGGCAACAGCUCAAAUUUGAAAUCUGGCCCCCCGGCCCGAGUUGUAAUUUGUAGAGGAUGCUUCUGGGUAGCGACCGGUCUAAGUUCCUUGGAACAGGACGUCAUAGAGGGUGAGAAUCCCGUAUGCGACCGGCCCGCGCCCUCCACGUAGCUCCUUCGACGAGUCGAGUUGUUUGGGAAUGCAGCUCUAAAUGGGAGGUAAAUUUCUUCUAAAGCUAAAUACCGGCCAGAGACCGAUAGCGCACAAGUAGAGUGAUCGAAAGAUGAAAAGCACUUUGGAAAGAGAGUUAAAAAGCACGUGAAAUUGUUGAAAGGGAAGCGCUUACAACCAGACUUUGGGGCGGUGUUCCGCCGGUCUUCUGACCGGUCUACUCUCCGUCCCGAGGCCAACAUCAUCUGGGACCGCCGGACAAGACCUCAGGAAUGUAGCUCCCCCUCGGGGGAGUGUUAUAGCCUGUGGUGAUGCGGCGCGUCCCGGGUGAGGUCCGCGCUUCGGCAAGGAUGUUGGCGUAAUGGUUGUCAGCGGCCCGUCUUGAAACACGGACCAAGGAGUCUAACAUCUAUGCGAGUGUUCGGGUGUCAAACCCCUACGCGGAAUGAAAGUGAACGGAGGUGGGAAGGGGCAACCCUGCACCAUCGACCGAUCCUGAUGUCCUCGGAUGGAUUUGAGUAAGAGCAUAGCUGUUGGGACCCGAAAGAUGGUGAACUAUGCCUGAAUAGGGUGAAGCCAGAGGAAACUCUGGUGGAGGCUCGCAGCGGUUCUGACGUGCAAAUCGAUCGUCAAAUUUGGGUAUAGGGGCGAAAGACUAAUCGAACCAUCUAGUAGCUGGUC
Molecule: ribosomal RNA, 863 nt
Filed under: Zymoseptoria tritici
Lineage: Eukaryota; Fungi; Ascomycota; Dothideomycetes; Mycosphaerellales; Mycosphaerellaceae
Description: partial large subunit ribosomal RNA
Rfam family: Eukaryotic large subunit ribosomal RNA
Source: RNAcentral